RNAcentral lists this unclassified non-coding RNA (378 nucleotides) under plant metagenome. RNAcentral's name for it is "partial contains 5.8S ribosomal RNA, internal transcribed spacer 2, and large subunit ribosomal RNA". The stretch from base 1 to 105 matches the Rfam family "5.8S ribosomal RNA", at positions 50 to 154 of the family's 154-position model. The record is from RNAcentral.
GAAAUGCGAUAAGUAAUGUGAAUUGCAGAAUUCAGUGAAUCAUCGAAUCUUUGAACGCACCUUGCGCUCCUUGGUAUUCCUUGGAGCAUGCCUGCUUGAGUAUCAUGAAAUCUUCAAAGUAAAUCUUUUGUUAACUCAAUUGGUUUCUACUUUGGUAUUGGAGGUCUUUGCAGCUUCACACCUGCUCCUCUUUGUUCAUUAGCUGGAUCUCAGUGUUAUGCUUGGUUCCACUCGGCGUGAUAAGUUAUCUAUCGCUGAGGACACUGUAAAAGGUGGCCAAGGUAAAUGCAGAUGAACCGCUUCUAAUAGUCCAUUGACUUGGACAAUACUUUUAUGAUCUGAUCUCAAAUCAGGUAGGACUACCCGCUGAACUUAAGC